RNAcentral lists this ribosomal RNA (253 nucleotides) under uncultured bacterium. RNAcentral describes it as "partial 16S ribosomal RNA". It matches the Rfam family "Bacterial small subunit ribosomal RNA", at positions 524 to 776 of the family's 1533-position model. The record is from RNAcentral.
UACGGAGGGUGCAAGCGUUAUCCGGAUUCACUGGGUUUAAAGGGUGCGUAGGUGGGCAGGUAAGUCAGUUGUGAAAUCUCCGGGCUUAACUCGGAAAGGUCAACUGAUACUGUGCGACUAGAGUGCGGAAGGGGCAACUGGAAUUCUCGGUGUAGCGGUGAAAUGCGUAGAUAUCGAGAGGAACACCUGCGGCGAAGGCGGGUUGCUGGGCCGACACUGACGCUGAUGCGCGAAAGCCAGGGGAGCGGACGGG